Molecule: long non-coding RNA, 188 nt
Organism: Triticum aestivum (bread wheat)
Lineage: Eukaryota; Viridiplantae; Streptophyta; Magnoliopsida; Poales; Poaceae
Exons: 3
Source: RefSeq, a predicted model, not a curated record
UGCAGGGCAACAUCGACGCUGGACCAGAUGGACGAGCUGCAGUGCCAAACUGGGAGAGGAAUAGACGCUCCAGCAGCAGUGAUUAUGCGUGUGUAUGUGGAGAAGAUAACUGGGUCGAUUGAUUUGAUGUUAAUUUGUUUGCUUCACUCUGUUUAUUUAUGGCUACAAUGACGGCAGCGGCACACGAG